UACGGGGGGGGGCAAGCGUUGUUCGGAAUUACUGGGCGUAAAGGGCUCGUAGGCGGCCAACUAAGUCGGAUGUGAAAUCCCCAGGCUUAACCUGGGAACUGCAUCCGAUACUGGAUGGCUUGAAUCCGGGAGAGGGAUGCGGAAUUCCAGGUGUAGCGGUGAAAUGCGUAGAUAUCUGGAGGAACACCGGUGGCGAAGGCGGCAUCCUGGACCGGCAUUGACGCUGAGGAGCGAAAGCCCAGGGGAGCAA
RNAcentral lists this ribosomal RNA (250 nucleotides) under uncultured bacterium. RNAcentral's name for it is "partial 16S ribosomal RNA". It matches the Rfam family "Bacterial small subunit ribosomal RNA", at positions 524 to 771 of the family's 1533-position model. The record is from RNAcentral.